CCUACGGGAGGCAGCAGUGAGGAAUAUUGGUCAAUGGACGAGAGUCUGAACCAGCCAAGUAGCGUGAAGGAUGACUGCCCUAUGGGUUGUAAACUUCUUUUAUAUGGGAAUAAAACGUUCCACGUGUGGGAUUUUGUAUGUACCAUAUGAAUAAGGAUCGGCUAACUCCGUGCCAGCAGCCGCGGUAAUACGGAGGAUCCGAGCGUUCUCCGGAUUUAUUGGGUUUAAAGGGAGCGUAGGUGGAUUGUUAAGUCAGUUGUGAAAGUUUGCGGCUCAACCGUAAAAUUGCAGUUGAAACUGGCAGUCUUGAGUACAGUAGAGGUGGGCGGAAUUCGUGGUGUAGCGGUGAAAUGCUUAGAUAUCACGAAGAACUCCGAUUGCGAAGGCAGUUCACUGGACUGCAACUGACACUGAGGCUCGAAAGUGUGGGUAUCAAACAGGAUUAGAUACCCGAGUAGUC
RNAcentral lists this ribosomal RNA (460 nucleotides) under uncultured bacterium. RNAcentral's name for it is "partial 16S ribosomal RNA". It matches the Rfam family "Bacterial small subunit ribosomal RNA", at positions 338 to 795 of the family's 1533-position model. The record is from RNAcentral.